Molecule: ribosomal RNA, 418 nt
Filed under: Heterobasidion annosum
Lineage: Eukaryota; Fungi; Basidiomycota; Agaricomycetes; Russulales; Bondarzewiaceae
Description: LSU rRNA
Rfam family: Bacterial large subunit ribosomal RNA
Source: RNAcentral
UUGUUAAGGAACUCGGCAAGUUGUCCUCAUAAGUUUGACGAUAAGAGGAACCGUAAAAAUUUAAAUUAGCCAUAAUUUAAAAUCUUUUGCGGUGUAAUAAAAUCGGAGGCCCCGACUGUUUACUAAAAACACAAUUCAGAGCAAUGAUUAAUAUCAUAGUAUUCUGGAUGAAAUUUGCCCGAUGCCAUUAAUAUAAGAGAGGUAAUGGGUGACUGUUACUAAUCGAAAGUCUGGUUAAUAGCGGUCUUAACUAUGAGGAUCCAAAGGUAGCAAAAUAAAUUGGCCAUUAAAUGUGGUCUGGUAUCAAUAAUGUAACGAUGGUCUCACUGUCUCUACAACUUGCUCAGUGAAAUUGAAUUACCCGUGCAGAUGCGGGUUACCUCCAGGGGGACGGGAAGACCCUAUGCAGCUUCUACUG